Molecule: small RNA, 592 nt
Filed under: Pan troglodytes (chimpanzee)
Lineage: Eukaryota; Metazoa; Chordata; Mammalia; Primates; Hominidae
Description: processed transcript
Source: RNAcentral
ACUUUUCCACUUCCCUACGCUCUGUCGGCAGUCUCGCGGGAUUUCCGCCUCUCGCGGGAGUUAUUUGAAUGCCAGGGCGGUAACGACUCCCUAGGCGCCUGGGGCCCUCUGACAAGAAACUCUAGGGGACACCGCGGAGACCUCUGCCUCUGAGCUGGUGGGCGGGCCGGAUGUAGCCGAGCGCGGACAGGGCUAGUCCGGACAGAGUCCCAGAGCCAUGGGAGCGAAAAGAGACUGCUGCGGAUUAAGGAGGCCUUUCGGUUGGCGCAGCAGCCACACCACAACCAGGCGAAGCAGGUAGUGGCGCUGAAUCGCUCCUGCCGCGGGGUAAGCGCUCCCGGCCCGCGCCCGCCCCAGCCCCGACCUGGCGGGGCCAGGACGCUGGUUUAUACACUCCAAGAAACUUGUGAUACUUUCUCACUACAUGGUGCAAACAGCUGAGUCAAGUUGUCCCUGAGAGUAGCCACCUUUCCCUCAGGCCAUACACAUGGAACCAUUCUUUCUCCCUACAAGUCAGCCCAUAAUAGAGCCUCUGGUUGAAAAUCAAGAUUUUGGUGUUCACUUGGCAAUAUUUACUAAGAGGUAAAUGACG